RNAcentral lists this transfer RNA (82 nucleotides) under Gadus morhua (Atlantic cod). Its description in RNAcentral is "tRNA-Ser (TGA) (tRNA-Ser-TGA-11-1)". It matches the Rfam family "tRNA". Rfam says of the family: Transfer RNA (tRNA) molecules are approximately 80 nucleotides in length. Their secondary structure includes four short double-helical elements and three loops (D, anti-codon, and T loops). Further hydrogen bonds mediate the characteristic L-shaped molecular structure. tRNAs have two regions of fundamental functional importance: the anti-codon, which is responsible for specific mRNA codon recognition, and the 3' end, to which the tRNAs corresponding amino acid is attached (by aminoacyl-tRNA synthetases). tRNAs cope with the degeneracy of the genetic code in two manners: having more than one tRNA (with a specific anti-codon) for a particular amino acid; and 'wobble' base-pairing, i.e. permitting non-standard base-pairing at the 3rd anti-codon position. The record is from RNAcentral. Lineage: Eukaryota; Metazoa; Chordata; Actinopteri; Gadiformes; Gadidae.
GCUGUGAUGGCCGAGUGGUUAAGGUGUUGGACUUGAAAUCCAAUGGCUGUUACCCGUGCCGGUUCAAAUGCUGCUCACAGCG